ACCCCCGGAAACGGGGUCUUUCCGACUUGUUCGGAACAAAGUGACAGGUGCUGCAUGGCUGUCGUCAGCUCGUGUCGUGAGAUGUUGGGUUAAGUCCCGCAACGAGCGCAACCCUUGUCUUUAGUUGCCAUUAUUAAGUUAGGAACUCUAAAGAUACUGCCUCGGUUAACGGGGAGGAAGGUGGGGAUGACGUCAAGUCCUCAUGGCCUUUAUAUCCAGGGCUACACACGUGCUACAAUGGGCUGUACAAAGAGACGCUAUCCCGUGAGGAGGCGCUAAUCUCAAAAAGCAGCUCUCAGUUCGGAUUGGAGUCUGCAACUCGANNNCAUGAAGGUGGAAUCGCUAGUAAUCGUGGAUCAGCAUGCCACGGUGAAUACGUUCCCGGGCCUUGUACACACCGCCCGUCACACCAC
This 413-nucleotide ribosomal RNA is filed under the name uncultured Shigella sp. RNAcentral describes it as "bacterial SSU rRNA". It matches the Rfam family "Bacterial small subunit ribosomal RNA", at positions 996 to 1405 of the family's 1533-position model. Lineage: Bacteria; Pseudomonadati; Pseudomonadota; Gammaproteobacteria; Enterobacterales; Enterobacteriaceae. The record is from RNAcentral.